GUUUAGUGUUCUUCGCGAAUGGGUUCUUCUCAGAGAAAUGCAUAUAUUGACAUAUACAUACAUUCAUAUGCACACAUACAUACAUUCAUAUGCAUACAUUCAUACAUACAUACAUAUGCACACAUUAUACAUACAUACAUACAUACAUUCUAAGAGGUCACAACAAGAUCAGUGGUUAUUGCCACUUCUAAUUGCGGUAGUCAGGCAGAUCAAGGUCAGAUGUUUGUGAAAGAGACAUCUUGUGACAACUGUACUACUGGGUGUGAUGACUCCACCAUCAAGUAUUCUCAUGGGAAAUCAUCAUCAUAUGGGGCUUCAGCUAGGUUGGUGAACGAUAGCUAAUUUUAGUAAAUCUUACAGUGUUGGUGCGUGUAAUUAGAUAAACUGCUGUCAGAUCAAGCCGUUCACCUUGUAGAAGGUUUGGAAUUAGAUAAACUGAACGAGAAGUUUUUACCAAUCAAAGACACUCAUCAGGUCUGUGUUCCAUAACAGCAUCUCAACAGGCAAUUCACCUUUUCAGGCAACACUACCUCUAAACUUUUUCCCUUACGAUCUCUAUUAUUUACCCUUUAUAUGUACUUUCAAGAGUUCUUGAGCCCAAACAGGUUCCAAUAACAGUCUUACUUACCGCUUCCAUAGUAGGAUGCUCCUGGGGAUAAACUACAUCUCCCUCAGAUCAAAUCAGGAACUAACAUUAGAAACACUCCUACAUAGUCACAGACUAGUUUCUGAAAAUAACAGGUCCAUCUCGGAUGGAACUUUAAAAUGGCAGAGACACAACUAGAGUCCUUCAGCCAGUGUUCUCAUUCGAUUGAUUAUUUGGAGUAGCUUUGGAAACUUCAAAAACGGUCAAGCUUUAGGUAUCUGACAUUAUUCUAGAGAUGAACUAUAUUUGGAUAUGAGAAAAAGUACAAGCAAGAUCCACGAUAAGACUAUGUUCCACUUGUGGGAGCAGUUAUGAGAACUAAGUAUACGAACCAGAAAGUUAGGAGCUUAUAAGCUGAGUAUCCAAUGUUUCUGAAACAUGUUUGGCCUCAAAAGAUGCCAGGCCCUUUGAUUUGCUAAAAAAGAAGCUCAUGUUAAGAUUAGAUACACUCUGAAUCCAUAUUCUAAAGACUUAUGAAGAGGAAUGGUUUUAUAUCCCAGUCGGUGGGUCCUUGCCAAACACUGAACAAAAGAAUCUCGCCGUUGGUCUGCAGCAAUUGAAGGAACCCUUUCCACUGCAGAAUUCUAGUGAAAAGAGUUAUUUUUUGCUCUGAUUGUGAUGAACAUAGUGGUUUUUGUACUCAUAUAUUAUAAUAUGAUCUUCCGAAUGUUUCAGAUACGUUUCGUGACGUAAAAGCAAACGGGAGACAAAGAAAGAGAAUUUAAUCCAAAAAGCUCAAGACAUGGGGAAGGAACGGACGGAGGAACUUAGCUUCAAACUACACUGAUGCCAAUAAUGGAAGAAGUGCAGCUUUUAAAAGGCAGAGUGGAGCUAAUCACAUAAUAAGAGGUCUUAGAAAUGCUUCGCCUGCUCCUAUCAAAGCAACAAUCGAGACAAUACCUUGUUCCAUAAAGGAGUCUAACCCUGUAAUUCCCCCAAGUGGAGUUAGAAACCGAAAUAUUACAGAAGAACACACUCCCUUCAAGUCUACAUCUUCGUCUGAUGAUCUUACUGAGCUGAAGAAGCCUAAAGCAACUGAAAAUGAACCUUAUCAGAUUUUUUUGUGCGAAUCAAUAUCCAAGAAAGAAAUUGCAGUGAAGAAGAGCGCAAAUUGUUUGCAGUUUGGUGUUAUACAAAGUUUUGAAUUCUCUGUACUUUUGGUUUGUUUUUUAUGUUAUAUAGAUUGAUUAGAUCUAAACUGUGAUUUAAUUUGCCAGGAUGCAGCUAAUAUUGUUUUGAAUAAACCUCAUGGUAUGGCUGUUCAAGGAGGAACUGGGGUCAAAGCCAGUAUUGAUGAACUAUAUGCUGCCACUUGCUUGACUUUUGAUAAAUCAGAAUCUCCUCAGCUGUAGGUGCACAGACUUGACAGAGACUGUAGUGGACUUUUGGUGUUGGGAAGAACACAAACGG
Molecule: long non-coding RNA, 2056 nt
Organism: Brassica napus (rape)
Lineage: Eukaryota; Viridiplantae; Streptophyta; Magnoliopsida; Brassicales; Brassicaceae
Exons: 12
Source: RefSeq, a predicted model, not a curated record